Molecule: long non-coding RNA, 533 nt
Filed under: Manacus vitellinus (golden-collared manakin)
Lineage: Eukaryota; Metazoa; Chordata; Aves; Passeriformes; Pipridae
Description: lncRNA (ENSMVIG00005002779.1)
Source: RNAcentral
UGCUGUUGGAAAAGGUAAAACUGAUGGAUUUAUAAGGUGAAAACCGUUGGGAGUGAUGAAAAGCUGUGUUUUUCUAGCUUAGGAAUAAACAUGUGGAGGAAAACUAAGCAAGCGUGCAGAUGGAGCAGAUAUUUGGACUAAUCCAGGUUCAGUGCUCUGUGGGUUUUGCUUGUGAUGGAAUUGGGGGGUUAGUGGUCCUGACAGCACUAAAUCCCUUUUAAUCUCCUCUUCCAUUUGUUAUGGUUUGCAUGGGCAGGAUGCAGCCGCUGUGGGACCCGUGAAGUGGAGCUUUAGGCCAGCGAAGCACUCGAGUCGUGGCUGUCUCAGGACAAGCAGUGUCAGCCCUGGAGAUACCCUGGGUGGUGCUGAGUGCUGGGGAGAUCCUGCAGACCUGCUGCAGAGACCAGACUGAUAAAGUCUCCAGGCCUCUUGGUGAGGUGGAUCGUGAUGGGACAGUGCCUUUUUGCAAAAGCAGGGUCAGACAGAGAGCAGGUAAAGGUCAGGACCUUGACCAACAGCUGUAUCCUGCACAC